Molecule: long non-coding RNA, 672 nt
Organism: Mustela erminea (ermine)
Lineage: Eukaryota; Metazoa; Chordata; Mammalia; Carnivora; Mustelidae
Exons: 3
Source: RefSeq, a predicted model, not a curated record
UCUUAGGUGAUCUCAGUAAGCGGGGAAGAAGCAGGAUAGGCCAGACACAACAUUAGUGUCCCGGGGCUUGGACUGGAGUCAAAUAACUGGUCUGCCUUCCCCAAAGAGAGAUUAUUCUGCCUGAAGACCUCCUGGCAACUCGGGAGCAUCGCUGACAUGGUGGCCGGCCCUGAGACAGCCUUUACCCGGAAGACUUUGUGAAAGAUACUCCCUGGGGUCUGUGUGCUGGGACAGGGAAAAGGGACUGGAGAAAAGAAAUACAUUUGUCUUCUCUCAGCCAACACUGGUUCGCCUGCCUGCACGGUGAGCUCCAAAUGACUCCGUUUGAGACUUUUUUGAGGGACACUUGCCCUUGGAACCCAGCCACCAUGUUGUAAGGAGGUCGAGGACAUGUGCAGAGGCUGCAUCCGGGCAUUCCAUCUGACAACUCUCACCAGGCUCCAGGCAGCCGCUAGCAUUAAUUGCCAGACACGCACGUGAACAAACCUUUAAAUUAUUCCAGGCCACGGCGUUCUAUGCUUACGUCAGAGGUCCCAGACAGCAUGGAGCAGAGACACCUAUCCCUACCAGGCCCUGUUUGAACUCCCAACCCACAGAAACUGUAAGAAAUAAUACAUAUUUAUUGUUGCGUUAAGCCGCAGGUUUGGGGACAAUUUGUCAUGCAGCAGUAGA